Long non-coding RNA from Leptidea sinapis, 984 nucleotides. RefSeq lists it as uncharacterized. The transcript is spliced from 5 exons. The record is from RefSeq and is a predicted model, not a curated record. NCBI's taxonomy places the organism in Eukaryota, Metazoa, Arthropoda, Insecta, Lepidoptera, Pieridae.
UUUCAACUCUUUCGCUGUGAUAACACGCUUUGUCAAUAGUAAUUUAUUAUAACUCUAAAAAUGUAAUGUGUUUGAAAUGUGAAGUUAAGCUUGGCGAGAUACACCAAAAAGUUGGGGAGAUUUUCUGAGAAGUCGGUAGUGCCUUCAAUAAAUAGUCGAAAUGGCAAUAACCUUACAGCUGGUUGCCGAUUUACUUCCACACGACAAAUGGAUGGACGUGGAAAACGAGAUGCAUUGUUCCAGCGUCCAUCGUUUUGCCGUUGACUGGAACAAGCUGAGUCAACACAUCAAGAACUGCUCUCACAGGCACUUCUACGAAUGCAAAACAUCUCCAUUAUUCAGGUCUCCAAUUCAAACGGCAUUGAAAUAGAAAGCUUUCGAGUUCGUCGGUCUUCCGAAAUGGCAGGUACCGCUGAUCAAGCUGAACGCCCCAAAGAUCGCAAUAAAUUUCGAAAGCUUUAAUAUCAAUGUUAAGUUGGAGUUUGCUACCAACAGUGAAGAACUAACCACAGGAGUUACGACUGGCUUCUCAUAAAAUCGCCGAGGAAUAGUCAAGACAGCGUGUUAUGACGCGGAUGAUUUGAGGAUCGUCAAAUAGUCCCCCAUUCGCCCUUUCAUAUAUAAUACUUUCUAUACUUGAUUACCAAUAAUUUUCAUUAAUAAUAUUAUUAAUUAAAAUUAAAUCCAUCGCAGCUUGUACUUCAUUCACAGGGACAUCACGAGCAACAUGUUUGAUUUUAUUGGUCCGUGUCUUUAUUAUUAGCAUUGCAAUCUUGGUUCUUCCCAAUCCCAUGUUUUUUUUUAAAUUUAUCUAUUUAAUUGACGGCUAUCUUAUUUAUACUAUUAAGUCAUUAAAUUUUGUUUAUUCAGAUAGGUUUCCAGUUUUUGUAUCAGCAUGCUAUUUGACGAGGCUAGGACUUAGUAUGUAAGUUUUAUCAAUAAUUUAAUUUAUUUAAUAACCUGAAUAUACAAAUCAUGUUGUCG